This 222-nucleotide unclassified non-coding RNA is filed under the name Hevea brasiliensis (rubber tree). Lineage: Eukaryota; Viridiplantae; Streptophyta; Magnoliopsida; Malpighiales; Euphorbiaceae. The record is from RNAcentral.
GCAAAAAGGGCUGGCAUGUACCCACCUGCAUUCUUAGUUGGAAUAUGAUCAUGAUUGAUGAUGGAUAUGGGAUGGCUUCUCUGACUAGUUAGUAACUCCAUACCAAGAUCGUUGUGCGAUGGGGCUAGAAUUGGUUCUACAUUUUGCCUCGAGAGUUCAAGCUUUAACAUCUCAGAAUCACCUCCAAAAACCAAGGACUGGCCAAACAAAUUUGUAGAUCUU